RNAcentral lists this long non-coding RNA (1030 nucleotides) under Toxoplasma gondii VEG. Lineage: Eukaryota; Apicomplexa; Conoidasida; Eucoccidiorida; Sarcocystidae. The record is from RNAcentral.
CGCGGGUUUGCCGUGUUUUUCCGUUACCCGACGCGGAGAGUCUGUUGAGCAAAGCUGGUUUGAUUCCUCGCAAGCUUCUUUUUGCUGCCUCUGGGAAGAUUGCUGAUGUAGCGCAAGCACCUUGUGGCAUUUGCUUUCCCCAAGAUGCAGAGACAAGUCGACUUCCACUUUGUUCGUCUGAUCUUCCGACGUGGAGGUGCCGAUGCAAGGCACAGAAAGCAGCUUUCUGUUCUGCGGAGACCGUGGAAAGUCCCGCAGGACGCGUGCGUCCGUUUUCCGCAGAAUAUUCCCAUAUGAGGAAGAAGGCAAGCGAGCGAACAAACGUUCUGCACUGGACACUUGAGUCGCAUCCAGGGAAAAUGUCUAAUCAAGCCAGGCUUAGGACUACCGGUUCUCUGCGAAAGAGUCUGUGGCGCGAAAGUGAUGGAACUCCCUCGUUUGUGGCUGUACUGCGAUAACUCUCGAAGAAUCGAGCUCCUCUGUCGAACGACAACAACAGGCUACGACGAUGUAUAGAAUCCGAAAUACUCAUCUUUAUCCGAGAUAAUUUCCAAGGCAGUCAUGGCUGUCAAGCUUCCUGAUGGGAUAAGGAAGCUGGGACUCGAAGACGUUUGAGAUUACCUCGCCUGCGCGCAUGUUGUCCAAAGAAUACGUCUUAGUGCCUUGGCCACUGCUCUCAACAAGAGAAGGGUAUUUUCUUUGGCUGAGAGGUUUCCUUGAUCGGCGAUUUCUCACCACAAAAAACUAUUUUCUUGUCCAAAGUGGAGAACCUAUGAGGUCACCGCCUGAAAAUGGCGCCUUCCUAGACUUCCUCCUGCCUCCACUGUGUCGCAGAGAAUCUCAUCAACUUGCGUUUCGUGGGUUUUUCUAGCAAGACUCGAGUUCUGCAACAGCCCUUCUUUUCUCAGUGUCCAUUCUUUCUACCAAAGAGAGAAUCUCAACUAUCGGUUCUGUGCCGGCUUCCUCUGUUCCCAUGUUCCCGCUUCACGUGGACAUCUACUGUGCAGAGGAACUUCACCGAUACACGAAG